RNAcentral lists this ribosomal RNA (927 nucleotides) under Sectonema barbatoides. Its description in RNAcentral is "SSU rRNA". It matches the Rfam family "Eukaryotic small subunit ribosomal RNA", at positions 39 to 966 of the family's 1831-position model. Lineage: Eukaryota; Metazoa; Nematoda; Enoplea; Dorylaimida; Aporcelaimidae. The record is from RNAcentral.
AAAGAUUAAGCCAUGCAUGUCUAAGCACAUGCCUUAAUACGGUGAAGCCGCGAAUAGCUCAUUACAACAGCCACCGUUUACUAGAAAUAGUUAUCCUACUUGGAUAACUCUGGCAAUUCUAGAGCUAAUACAUGCAAUAAAGCUCCGCCCUGCGAAGGAACGGGCGCAUUUAUUAGAAUAAAAACCAAUCGGGUCUCGGCCCGUAAUUUGGUAAAUCUGAAUAACUUUGCCAAUCGCACGGUCCUAGUACCGGCGAUAUAUCUUUCAAGUGUCUGCCUUAUCAACUUUCGUUGGUAGGUUAUACGCCUACCAAGGUAGUAACGGGUAACGGAGAAUAAGGGUUCGACUCCGGAGAGGGAGCCUGAGAAACGGCUACCACAUCCAAGGAAGGCAGCAGGCGCGCAAAUUACCCACUUCCAGAACGGAGAGGUAGUGACGAAAAAUAACGAGACAGCCCUCUUCGAGGUCUGUCAUCGGAAUGGGUACAAUUUAAAUCCUUUAACGAGGAUCUAUUGGAGGGCAAGUCUGGUGCCAGCAGCCGCGGUAACUCCAGCUCCAAUAGCGUAUAUUAAAGUUGUUGCGGUUAAAACGCUCGUAGUUGGAUCUGCGGCCUCGACGAACGGUCCCCCGAAAGGGUGGUCACUGUCUCGUCUAGCCUAAAUUCGAGUCGUCCCUAGGUGUUCUUAACCGAGUGCCUAGGGUGACCAGAACGUUUACUUUGAAAAAAUUAGAGUGCUUAAAGCAGGCGAAAUAGCCUGAAUAAAAUGCAUGGAAUAAUGGAAUAGGACCUCGGUUCUAUUUUGUUGGUUUUCGGAACCCGAGGUAAUGAUUAAGAGGAACAGACGGGGGCAUUCGUAUUCCGGCGCUAGAGGUGAAAUUCUUGGACCGCCGGAAGACGGACGACUGCGAAAGCAUUUGCCAAGAAUG